Molecule: non-coding RNA, 2125 nt
Filed under: Atopomonas hussainii
Lineage: Bacteria; Pseudomonadati; Pseudomonadota; Gammaproteobacteria; Pseudomonadales; Pseudomonadaceae
Description: Pseudomonas hussainii Bacterial large subunit ribosomal RNA
Rfam family: Bacterial large subunit ribosomal RNA
Source: Rfam by way of RNAcentral
GGUCAAGUGAAUAAGUGCAUACGGUGGAUGCCUUGGCAGUCAGAGGCGAUGAAAGACGUGAUAGCCUGCGAUAAGCUUCGGGGAGGUGGCAAAUAACCUUUGAUCCGGAGAUCUCUGAAUGGGGAAACCCACUUAGCAUAAGCUAGGUAUCUUACACUGAAUACAUAGGUGUAAGAGGCGAACCGGGAGAACUGAAACAUCUAAGUACCCCGAGGAAAAGAAAUCAACCGAGAUUCCCUAAGUAGUGGCGAGCGAACGGGGAGCAGCCCUUAAGCUUCUUUGAUCUUAAUAGAACGCUCUGGAAAGUGCGGCCAUAGUGGGUGAUAGCCCCGUAUAUGAAAAGGUCUUAGAAGUGAAAUCGAGUAGGACGGGGCACGUGAAACCUUGUCUGAACAUGGGGGGACCAUCCUCCAAGGCUAAAUACUACUGACUGACCGAUAGUGAACCAGUACCGUGAGGGAAAGGCGAAAAGAACCCCUGUGAGGGGAGUGAAAUAGAACCUGAAACCGUAUGCAUACAAGCAGUGGGAGCAGACUUUGUUCUGUGACUGCGUACCUUUUGUAUAAUGGGUCAGCGACUUAUAUUCAGUGGCGAGCUUAACCGAAUAGGGGAGGCGUAGGGAAACCGAGUCUUAAUAGGGCGUUUAGUCGCUGGGUAUAGACCCGAAACCGGGCGAUCUAUCCAUGAGCAGGUUGAAGGUGCCGUAACAGGCACUGGAGGACCGAACCCACUCCCGUUGAAAAGGUAGGGGAUGACUUGUGGAUAGGAGUGAAAGGCUAAUCAAGCUCGGAGAUAGCUGGUUCUCCUCGAAAGCUAUUUAGGUAGCGCCUCACGUAUCACUCCAGGGGGUAGAGCACUGUUUCGGCUAGGGGGUCAUCCCGACUUACCAAACCGAUGCAAACUCCGAAUACCUGGAAGUGCAGCGUGGGAGACACACGGCGGGUGCUAACGUCCGUCGUGAAAAGGGAAACAACCCAGACCGUCAGCUAAGGUCCCAAAGUUCUAGUUAAGUGGGAAACGAUGUGGGAAGGCUUAGACAGCUAGGAGGUUGGCUUAGAAGCAGCCACCCUUUAAAGAAAGCGUAAUAGCUCACUAGUCGAGUCGGCCUGCGCGGAAGAUGUAACGGGGCUCAAACUAGACACCGAAGCUACGGGUUCACACUAUGUGUGAGCGGUAGAGGAGCGUUCUGUAAGCCUGUGAAGGUGAGUUGAGAAGCUUGCUGGAGGUAUCAGAAGUGCGAAUGCUGACAUGAGUAACGACAAUGGGAGUGAAAAACUCCCACGCCGAAAGACCAAGGUUUCCUGCGCAACGUUAAUCGACGCAGGGUGAGUCGGCCCCUAAGGCGAGGCAGAAAUGCGUAGUCGAUGGGAAGCAGGUUAAUAUUCCUGCACUUCUAAUUACUGCGAUGGAGGGACGGAGAAGGCUAGGCCAGCACGGCGUUGGUUGUCCGUGUUUAAGGUUGUAGGCUGAGAUUUUAGGCAAAUCCGGAAUCUCAAGGCCGAGAGCUGAUGACGAGCACUCUUUUAGAGAGCGAAGUGGUUGAUGCCAUGCUUCCAGGAAAAGCUUCUAAGCUUCAGGUAAUUAGGAACCGUACCCCAAACCGACACAGGUGGUCGGGUAGAGAAUACCAAGGCGCUUGAGAGAACUCGGGUGAAGGAACUAGGCAAAAUGGCACCGUAACUUCGGGAGAAGGUGCGCCGGUGAGGGUGAAGUAUUUACUGCGUAAGCCCACGCCGGUCGAAGAUACCAGGCCGCUGCGACUGUUUAUUAAAAACACAGCACUCUGCAAACACGAAAGUGGACGUAUAGGGUGUGACGCCUGCCCGGUGCCGGAAGGUUAAUUGAUGGGGUUAGCGCAAGCGAAGCUCUUGAUCGAAGCCCCGGUAAACGGCGGCCGUAACUAUAACGGUCCUAAGGUAGCGAAAUUCCUUGUCGGGUAAGUUCCGACCUGCACGAAUGGCGUAACGAUGGCGGCGCUGUCUCCACCCGAGACUCAGUGAAAUUGAAAUCGCUGUGAAGAUGCAGUGUAUCCGCGGCUAGACGGAAAGACCCCGUGAACCUUUACUAUAGCUUUGCACUGGACUUUGAAUUUACUUGUGUAGGAUAGCUGGGAGGCUUUGAAGCG